GACGAACGCUGGCGGCGUGCCUCAAACAUGCAAGUCGAGCGAGGUGAGACCGAACCGCAAGGUGAGGUUGAACCUAGCGGCGAACGGGUGAGUAACACGUGGGUAACCUGCCUGGAAGAUUGGGAUAACGGCUCGAAAGAGUCGCUAAUACCGGAUAAUGUCCUGGUGCUGCAUGGCACCGGGAAGAAAGGGGAAACCCGCUUUCAGAUGGGCCCGCGCCCCAUCAGCUAGUUGGUAAGGUAACGGCUUACCAAGGCGACGACGGGUAGCCGGUCUGAGAGGACGAUCGGCCACACUGGGACUGAGAUACGGCCCAGACUCCUACGGGAGGCAGCAGUUGGGAAUCUUAGGCAAUGGGCGAAAGCCUGACCUAGCGACGCCGCGUGAGGGAAGAAGGCCUUCGGUCGUAAACCUCUGUCAUGGGGACGAAGAAAGUAGACGGUACCCCACGGAGGAAGCCCCUGCUAACUACGUG
RNAcentral lists this ribosomal RNA (475 nucleotides) under uncultured bacterium. Its description in RNAcentral is "bacterial SSU rRNA". It matches the Rfam family "Bacterial small subunit ribosomal RNA", at positions 28 to 507 of the family's 1533-position model. The record is from RNAcentral.